UCUNUCUUAAAAGUUCGGGGCUUAACCCCGUGAUGGGAUGGAAACUGCCAAUCUAGAGUNUCGGAGAGGAAAGUGGAAUUCCUAGUGUAGCGGUGAAAUGCGUAGAUAUUAGGAAGAACACCAGUGGCGAAGGCGACUUUCUGGACGAAAACUGACGCUGAGGCGCGAAAGCCAGGGGAGCGAACGGGAUUAGAUACCCCGGUAGUCCUGGCCGUAAACGAUGGGUACUAGGUGUAGGAGGUAUCGACCCCUUCUGUGCCGGAGUUAACGCAAUAAGUACCCCGCCUGGGGAGUACGACCGCAAGGUUGAAACUCAAAGGAAUUGACGGGGGCCCGCACAAGCGGUGGAGUAUGUGGUUUAAUUCGACGCAACGCGAAGAACCUUACCAGGUCUUGACAUUGAUGGACAGAACCAGAGAUGGUUCCUCUUCUUCGGAAGCCAGAAAACAGGUGGUGCACGGUUGUCGUCAGCUCGUGUCGUGAGAUGUUGGGUUAAGUCCCGCAGCGAGCGCAACCCCUAUCUUAUGUUGCCAGCACUUCGGGUGGGAACUCAUGAGAGACUGCCGCAGACAAUGCGGAGGAAGGCGGGGAUGACGUCAAAUCAUCAUGCUCCUUAUGACCUGGGCUACACACGUACUACAAUGGGAGUUAAUAGACGGAAGCGAGAUCGCGAGAUGGAGCAAACCCGAGAAACACUCUCUCAGUUCGGAUCGUAGGCUGCAACUCGCCUACGUGAAGUCGGAAUCGCUAGUAAUCGCAGGUCAGCAUACUGCGGUGAAUACGUUCCCGGGCCUUGUACACACCGCCCGUCACACCACGAAAGUCGGAAGUGCCCAAAGCCGGUGGG
Molecule: ribosomal RNA, 847 nt
Filed under: uncultured bacterium
Lineage: Bacteria
Description: bacterial SSU rRNA
Rfam family: Bacterial small subunit ribosomal RNA
Source: RNAcentral